AGUGAACGCUGGCCGUAGGCCUAACACAUGCAAGUCGAACGGCAGCACAGUAAGAGCUUGCUCUUACGGGUGGCGAGUGGCGGACGGGUGAGGAAUACAUCGGAAUCUACUUUUUCGUGGGGGAUAACGUAGGGAAACUUACGCUAAUACCGCAUACGACCUACGGGUGAAAGCAGGGGAUCUUCGGACCUUGCGCGAUUGAAUGAGCCGAUGUCGGAUUAGCUAGUUGGCGGGGUAAAGGCCCACCAAGGCGACGAUCCGUAGCUGGUCUGAGAGGAUGAUCAGCCACACUGGAACUGAGGCACGGUCCAGACUCCUACGGGAGGCAGCAGUGGGGAAUAUUGGACAAUGGGCGCAAGCCUGAUCCAGCCAUACCGCGUGGGUGAAGAAGGCCUUCGGGUUGUAAAGCCCUUUUGUUGGGAAAGAAAAGCAGCAGGUUAAUACCCCGCUGUUCUGACGGUACCCAAAGAAUAAGCACCGGCUAACUUCGUG
RNAcentral lists this ribosomal RNA (492 nucleotides) under uncultured bacterium. RNAcentral's name for it is "partial 16S ribosomal RNA". It matches the Rfam family "Bacterial small subunit ribosomal RNA", at positions 29 to 507 of the family's 1533-position model. The record is from RNAcentral.